AAUAGAUACCCGGGUAGUCCUGGCAGUAAACGGUGCGCGUUUGGUGUGGGAGGAAUCGACCCCUUCCGUGCCGGAGCUAACGCGUUAAACGCGCCGCCUGGGGAGUACGGUCGCAAGAUUAAAACUCAAAGAAAUUGACGGGGGCCCGCACAAGCGGUGGAGUAUGUGGCUUAAUUCGAUGCAACGCGAAGAACCUUACCUGGGCUUGACAUGCAUCUCUAAGUCGGUGAAAGCCGGCGAGUGCCGCAAGGUACAAUUUGCACAGGUGCUGCAUGGCUGUCGUCAGCUCGUGUCGUAAGAUGUUGGGUUAAGUCCCGCAACGAGCGCAACCCCUGUGAUCUGUUGCUAACCGGCUUGUCCGGAGCACUCUGGUCAGACUGCCCUGUGAAACGGGGAGGAAGGUGGGGAUGACGUCAAGUCAGCAUGGCCCUUACGCCCAGGGCUGCACACGUACUACAAUGCUCAGUACAGAACGAGCCGAAACCGCGAGGUGGAGGAAAUCCCUAAAACUGAGCCCAAUUCGGAUCGCAGGCUG
This 535-nucleotide ribosomal RNA is filed under the name uncultured bacterium. RNAcentral describes it as "bacterial SSU rRNA". It matches the Rfam family "Bacterial small subunit ribosomal RNA", at positions 777 to 1307 of the family's 1533-position model. The record is from RNAcentral.